Molecule: small nuclear RNA, 21 nt
Filed under: Arabidopsis thaliana (thale cress)
Lineage: Eukaryota; Viridiplantae; Streptophyta; Magnoliopsida; Brassicales; Brassicaceae
Description: snRNA_18650
Source: RNAcentral
UAGAGCUCCCUUCAAUCCAAA